This 29-nucleotide non-coding RNA is filed under the name Rattus norvegicus (Norway rat). The record is from RNAcentral. Lineage: Eukaryota; Metazoa; Chordata; Mammalia; Rodentia; Muridae.
UGACAGACACUUCCUGUUUUGGGGCUAAU